Molecule: non-coding RNA, 72 nt
Organism: Trichomonas vaginalis G3
Lineage: Eukaryota; Parabasalia; Trichomonadida; Trichomonadidae
Source: Rfam
GGGUGAAUGGUAUAAUGGUUAGUAUUGUUGAUUGUGGCUCAAUAGAUCCGUGUUCGAUUCACGGUUCACCCA